CUUGAUGUGCUUAAAAAUGAAUAAAAAGCCGCACCAACUGCAGAACAAAAGAAAUGGUUAAAAUGUGGUGCACAGCUAAAAAAUGAUUUGAUGACCUGUAAUGGUAAUCCAAUACUACCAAAAUCCCUACACAAAACAGCAGCAUUAGUGACACACGAACAUGCAUGAUUUGCCAAAAACAUAAUGCACAGGGAAACCUCAGACCAAGAAGAAGUAAUUUUCGCACACCACCUCAUCCUUUUCAUACCAUUCACAUGGAUUUUAUUGAGCUAAAUGAAAGCCAAGGUUCAAAAUACGCUCUAGUGAUUAUAGACGUGUUCUCAAAAUGGCCAGAAAUUUAUCCUGUGAAAAAGGCAGAUGCAAUUUCUGUAGCAAAAUGCCUAUGCAGCCAUUUUGUUCCAACAUAUGGCAUCCCCACUCUGAUAAGAUCAGACAAUGGGACACAUUUUGUUAAUGAAGUAAUCAGCAAGGUCUCUGAAGCACUAGGAUUCAGUAUCAAACACCACUGUGCUUACCAUCCUCAAAGUGCCGGACUAGUGGAAAGAACUAACGGCACGAUAAAACAGAGAAGAAACAGGGAGACUAUGGGCUGAAUGUAAAGGUCUAGUGAAAAUGUGGAUGAGAUUAACACAAGGCAGGCUCACAAAAAUUGACGCCAUUUGAAAUAAUUCAUGGAAGACCUUUUCCCACUACUAAUACUGAGUGAACCAGUAAACAAAUCAGCUAGAGAGACUA
Molecule: long non-coding RNA, 735 nt
Organism: Oreochromis niloticus (Nile tilapia)
Lineage: Eukaryota; Metazoa; Chordata; Actinopteri; Cichliformes; Cichlidae
Exons: 2
Source: RefSeq, a predicted model, not a curated record